GAGCUUUGAAGAAAAAUUGGUUCAGCGAAGGUUGGGUCCAUCGCAUAAAUCUGAUUUCCCUGAUGAAAUUGCCAUUUACUGAGCUC
Non-coding RNA from Brassica napus (rape), 86 nucleotides. The record is from Rfam. Lineage: Eukaryota; Viridiplantae; Streptophyta; Magnoliopsida; Brassicales; Brassicaceae.